RNAcentral lists this long non-coding RNA (431 nucleotides) under Cicer arietinum (chickpea). RNAcentral's name for it is "long non-coding RNA (CARI_LNC001245)". Lineage: Eukaryota; Viridiplantae; Streptophyta; Magnoliopsida; Fabales; Fabaceae. The record is from RNAcentral.
AAAAAUUUAAUGGAGCCAAAAUGUAAAUCAGUACUACCAACUAAAUUCCUUCUCCUCAAAACAUGUUAAACCCAAAAUACGUUAAACCCCUUCUCCUCUUUCACCCAAAAUCGGUUUGCCAACUAAAUCCCUAACAUUUCAAUCUUGAGCCCCAAUCCGUUGUCUUCUACUUCUCGUCGUCGAUCAAUCCCGAACUCCAAUAUGUUGCCUUCUCGCCUUCGUUCAAUCUCGAACUGUGACCACCGUUCUCACACCCCAUCAACCGUUCUCAUUGUCGCUGUGACCACCGUUCUCGCACCACAUCCACGACGACAACAUGAUCACCAGCGCCACCGUGACCUGAACCUGUGACCACCGUUCUCGUACCACCGGUAAAUUUUGAAUUUUUAUAGUUUAUGAAUUUUCGCAGCACCUGAACAUGUGACCUUAGU